RNAcentral lists this ribosomal RNA (354 nucleotides) under uncultured bacterium. Its description in RNAcentral is "bacterial SSU rRNA". It matches the Rfam family "Bacterial small subunit ribosomal RNA", at positions 157 to 507 of the family's 1533-position model. The record is from RNAcentral.
UUUGGAUUAAUACCUCAUAGUAUAGCAGUUUCGCAUAGAAACCACUUAUUAAAGUCACAACGGCAAAAGAUGAGCAUGCGUCCCAUUAGCUUGUUGGUAAGGUAACGGCUUACCAAGGCAACGAUGGGUAGGGGUCCUGAGAGGGAGAUCCCCCACACUGGUACUGAGACACGGACCAGACUCCUACGGGAGGCAGCAGUGAGGAAUAUUGGACAAUGGGCGCAAGCCUGAUCCAGCCAUGCCGCGUGCAGGAUGACGGUCCUAUGGAUUGUAAACUGCUUUUGUACAGGAAGAAACACUGGUUCGUGAACCGGCUUGACGGUACUGUAAGAAUAAGGAUCGGCUAACUCCGUG